UACGAAGGGGGCUAGCGUUGUUCGGAAUCACUGGGCGUAAAGCGCACGUAGGCGGGCGUGCCAGUCAGGGGUGAAAUCCCGGAGCUCAACUCCGGAACUGCCUCUGAUACAGCACGUCUUGAGUUCGAGAGAGGUGGGUGGAAUUCCUAGUGUAGAGGUGAAAUUCGUAGAUAUUAGGAAGAACACCGGUGGCGAAGGCGGCCCACUGGCUCGAUACUGACGCUGAGGUGCGAAAGCGUGGGGAGCAAACAGG
This 253-nucleotide ribosomal RNA is filed under the name uncultured bacterium. RNAcentral's name for it is "partial 16S ribosomal RNA". It matches the Rfam family "Bacterial small subunit ribosomal RNA", at positions 524 to 776 of the family's 1533-position model. The record is from RNAcentral.